Long non-coding RNA from Salvelinus sp. IW2-2015, 196 nucleotides. RefSeq lists it as uncharacterized. Lineage: Eukaryota; Metazoa; Chordata; Actinopteri; Salmoniformes; Salmonidae. The record is from RefSeq and is a predicted model, not a curated record.
GCCGUGCUCUAAGGUUUCACAAAGUCUUAAAGAAGAUCAAUCUCCACUACUACAAUGAUUCCUCUUUCCAAGGCAAUCAGUUCCUACAGUGAGCACCAGGGAAACGAACCUCGGGUGGGCUAGAUGGAGACCAGGACAGCAACAGAAGAGAAUGCUGUGUCUGCCUCGUCCUGCUUCGUCGUCCAUUAUUUCCAAG